Molecule: ribosomal RNA, 491 nt
Filed under: Brachybacterium sp. BN5
Lineage: Bacteria; Bacillati; Actinomycetota; Actinomycetes; Micrococcales; Dermabacteraceae
Description: bacterial SSU rRNA
Rfam family: Bacterial small subunit ribosomal RNA
Source: RNAcentral
UUGGAGAGUUUGAUCCUGGCUCAGGAUGAACGCUGGCUGCGUGCUUAACACAUGCAAGUCGAACGAUGACGACCGGGCUUGCCUGGUCUGAUUAGUGGCGAACGGGUGAGUAACACGUGAGUAACCUGCCCCUCACUUCGGGAUAACCUCGGGAAAUCGUGGCUAAUACCGGAUAUGAACUUCUACCGCAUGGUGGUUGUUGGAAAGUUUUUCGGUGAGGGAUGGACUCGCGGCCUAUCAGUUUGUUGGUGAGGUAAUGGCUCACCAAGACGAUGACGGGUAGCCGGCCUGAGAGGGCGACCGGCCACACUGGGACUGAGACACGGCCCAGACUCCUACGGGAGGCAGCAGUGGGGAAUAUUGCACAAUGGGCGAAAGCCUGAUGCAGCGACGCAGCGUGAGGGAUGACUGCCUUCGGGUUGUAAACCUCUUUCAGUAGGGAAGAAGCGAAAGUGACGGUACCUGCAGAAGAAGCGCCGGCUAACUACGUG